Molecule: ribosomal RNA, 735 nt
Filed under: Vibrio sp. 03_296
Lineage: Bacteria; Pseudomonadati; Pseudomonadota; Gammaproteobacteria; Vibrionales; Vibrionaceae
Description: bacterial LSU rRNA
Rfam family: Bacterial large subunit ribosomal RNA
Source: RNAcentral
AGCUAAGGUCCCAAAUUACAGCUAAGUGGGAAACGAUGUGGGAAGGCUUAGACAGCUAGGAUGUUGGCUUAGAAGCAGCCAUCAUUUAAAGAAAGCGUAAUAGCUCACUAGUCGAGUCGGCCUGCGCGGAAGAUGUAACGGGGCUAAGUUGUAAACCGAAGCUGCGGCAAUGUUCUAUGAACAUUGGGUAGGGGAGCGUUCUGUAAGCCGUUGAAGGUGUGUUGUAAAGCAUGCUGGAGGUAUCAGAAGUGCGAAUGCUGACAUGAGUAACGACAAGGGGGGUGAAAAACCUCCCCGCCGGAAGAYCAAGGGUUCCUGUCCAACGUUAAUCGGGGCAGGGUAAGUCGACCCCUAAGGCGAGGCUGAAAAGCGUAGUCGAUGGGAAACGGGUUAAUAUUCCCGUACUUCUUACAAUUGCGAUGGGGGGACGGAGAAGGCUAGGUGGGCCUGGCGACGGUUGUCCAGGUUCAAGUGCGUAGGCUGAGUGUUUAGGUAAAUCCGGAYACUCUUAAGGCUGAGACACGACGUCGAGCUACUACGGUAGUGAAGUCAUUGAUGCCAUGCUUCCAGGAAAAGCCUCUAAGCUUCAGAUUGUAAGGAAUCGUACCCCAAACCGACACAGGUGGUCGGGUAGAGAAUACCAAGGCGCUUGAGAGAACUCGGGUGAAGGAACUAGGCAAAAUGGUACCGUAACUUCGGGAGAAGGUACGCUCUUGAUGGUGAAGUCCCUUGCGG